UGGGGAAUAUUGGACAAUGGGGGCAACCCUGAUCCAGCCAUGCCGCGUGAGUGAUGAAGGCCUUAGGGUUGUAAAGCUCUUUCGCUAGGGAAGAUAAUGACGGUACCUAGAGAAGAAGCCCCGGCUAACUUCGUGCCAGCAGCCGCGGUAAUACGAAGGGGGCUAGCGUUGUUCGGAAUUACUGGGCGUAAAGCGCACGUAGGCGGACAUGUAAGUCAGGGGUGAAAUCCCAGGGCUCAACCCUGGAACUGCCUUUGAUACUGGGUGUCUUGAGUA
RNAcentral lists this ribosomal RNA (276 nucleotides) under uncultured prokaryote. RNAcentral describes it as "partial 16S ribosomal RNA". It matches the Rfam family "Bacterial small subunit ribosomal RNA", at positions 355 to 648 of the family's 1533-position model. The record is from RNAcentral.